This is a non-coding RNA of Gossypium raimondii (Peruvian cotton), 308 nucleotides long. NCBI's taxonomy places the organism in Eukaryota, Viridiplantae, Streptophyta, Magnoliopsida, Malvales, Malvaceae. The record is from Rfam.
GAGAGGAUAAUACCCAUGGCUAUCUAAUUGGUCUAAGGGCGAACUGAAACAUCUUAAUAGUUGGAGGAAAAGAAAGCAAAAGUGAUUCAUAUAGUAACAGUGAGCGAAACGGGAGUAACUUAAAUCGUGGAAAUGGGCUUGAAGGAGAGUAAAAAAGUGUGGUACUACUAGGCAAAGUUGUGAAGUGUUAGGCCUUAGAUGGCAAUAGUCUAGUAGCCGAAAGCGACAUUAGCUUAUGCUCUGAUUCAAGUAGCAUAAGGCACAUGGAACCCCUUGUCAAUUAGCAAGGACCCCCUUGCAAACGGAAG